Molecule: ribosomal RNA, 327 nt
Filed under: uncultured eukaryote
Lineage: Eukaryota
Description: partial 18S ribosomal RNA
Rfam family: Eukaryotic small subunit ribosomal RNA
Source: RNAcentral
CCCUUAGAUGUUCUCGGCCGCACACGCGCUACACUGAAAGAGGCAACGUGUUUGCCUGAUUCGAAAGAAUUGGGUAACCCCCUAAUCUCUUUCGUGCUGGGGAUUGAGGUUUGCAAUUAUCCUUCAUGAACGAGGAAUUCCCAGUAAGUGCAAGUCAUAAGCUUGCGCUGACUACGUCCCUGCCCUUUGUACACACCGCCCGUCGCUACUACCGAUUGAAUGAUUUAGUGAGGACUUCGGACUGGGACCGAUGCGGCUUUCGGGCUGCGUCGGUAUUCUGGAAAGAUGUCCAAACUGUAUCAUUUAGAGGAAGUAAAANUCGUANCA